GGCCUCCCUCUGUGGGGAGAUCGAUUGUGGGGCUCCCAGAUUGAUCACCCCACAGAGGGAGGCC
Molecule: microRNA precursor, 64 nt
Filed under: Myotis davidii
Lineage: Eukaryota; Metazoa; Chordata; Mammalia; Chiroptera; Vespertilionidae
Description: mir-9242 microRNA precursor family
Rfam family: mir-9242 microRNA precursor family
Source: Rfam by way of RNAcentral